ACGCUCGACACCUACUGGAGGCAGCAGUUGGGAAUAUUGGACAAUGGAGGAAACUCUGAUCCAGUGACGCCGCGUGAAGGAAGAAGGUCUUCGGAUUGUAAACUUAUUUUGUCAGGGAAGAAAAAUGACUGUACCUGAAGAAAAAGCACCGGCUAACUACGUGCCAGUAGCCGCGGUAAUCUGAGCGGGCUGGCAAGGC
RNAcentral lists this ribosomal RNA (199 nucleotides) under uncultured bacterium. RNAcentral describes it as "partial 16S ribosomal RNA". It matches the Rfam family "Bacterial small subunit ribosomal RNA", at positions 328 to 539 of the family's 1533-position model. The record is from RNAcentral.